This is a long non-coding RNA of Bos taurus (domestic cattle), 448 nucleotides long. NCBI's taxonomy places the organism in Eukaryota, Metazoa, Chordata, Mammalia, Artiodactyla, Bovidae. The record is from Ensembl.
UCCCAGCAGAAGGACAACAGAAUUCUUACAGUGGGUUGGCCUACAGCUCCCCAGCUGUAGGAGCGAGCACUGUGCUUUGGUUAAUGUGACAGGCGUCCCAUAAAUCAUCUGUGCUUAUCAGAGCCCCUGUUGACCAUCUGCUGUUGAACUUCAGCUCUCCCUGCCUGCCUGGAUGCUUCUGUCCAUUCUGGCCACUAUGCUGUUGGGGCUUUGCUCACUGGGUCCUAUGCAGGGGCUCAGAAACUGCACUGCAUUGGAGUCAAGCAAGCUGGCUGAGUCCAGCCUCCACCCUUGGGGAGGGAGCCUGCCUGUUGGCAGCAGCGCUGCUACCCAGCUCCAAAGAACUGACGUCCUGGGGAAGCCCCAGGAGGUCAGCCCUAAGAGGACCAGGCUUGUGCCUUGGCCUUGUCUCCUGCUUCAGAUCCCGCCUUAAGCGCCUGGAAACAGC